AUCAGCCUUUCGGGUGCGAUUCUGUGGGGUUUGAGGAGCUUAACACCUUCAUGCUUUGCAUAUUCGUGCUCUUGGGUGUACUUGCCCGUGUGGUUGGUUAACAUCAAUUUUGGUGGUCAUAAAAUGACUGGAGGAAUGUAGCUUCGAUCUCGUAUUGAAGUGUUAUAGCCUUCGGUAGAUGUGAUGAUCGAGAUUGAGGAUUGCAACGGAUACCCUUCGGGGCUACCUGUCUGAUCUCUGAUCGUUGCUCUGGUGCCGAAAGCUUGCUUACGGUUAUCAAAGUCGAUGGUCAAUAGGUUAGAACGGGUUAAAUUCGUUAAGGAUGUUGACGUAAUGGCUUU
RNAcentral lists this ribosomal RNA (341 nucleotides) under uncultured Glomeromycotina. Its description in RNAcentral is "eukaryotic LSU rRNA". The record is from RNAcentral. Lineage: Eukaryota; Fungi; Glomeromycota.